CACAGCACCCAUCAGGGUCCACGUGUCGGGGCCCAGUGUCAGGGCCAUGGGCUGCGCCGUCCUCUCUGCCUUGUCUCUCCUCAGCCACAAAUGCCUCCACCUGCCUUGUUAACCACGCUGUCCUGUGUGAGGCCGUGGCUGCCCUAGCCAGGCUGUGCAGCAGUUCCAGCAGUUCCUUACCUGCUGCCUUCAGUGUGACAAGUGUGCACAGAGUACCUGUACCAGCACACCUGUUCUGUCGUCCCAUCAGCAGAGCAGAGAACUGCAGGUUCUGUGGUGAUGAGUGGGCCUCCCAUCCUGAGCUCAGCAGGGCAAUUCCAUGGAGCAGGGCCAUACCAGGCUGGAGCUGUGAUGUUACAGCUCAUCUCAGUGGGCUUGAAUGAGAGACUGAGGCCGAGAGGAGCUGCCCAGUUGUCCUGGUUUAUGUGGAAAACUAGUGCCAGGACAGUGGAGUGCUGUCUGAUGUGCAUGAACAACCCAGAAGCUGAGUGUGUGAUGUGGGAGCCCAUGUGGCGUGUCUGCAUCUAGCGCUCCUGUCCCUGUGCUUGCUCUGCAAAGAGGACUGCUGCUGGCUCCUUGCAGAGAAAAGGUCCCUGAGCAUGGAAGAUGGAGGCUGAGGGGCUUAUGCACUCCCGGAAGUGACUGCCGUGAGAGGUGGUGCUGGGCCCUCUGCCUGGGUAGGCAUGCGGAGCCACACUGGGUGCUGAGCUGCUCCGGAUGUCCUGUCCCUCAUCCUGAGGCCCCGGCCUCUGUUUCCUUCCCGGCUCGCUGGCCUACCCUGUGUGCAGGAGUCUGGAUAGGGCUGGGCAGCCUCUGGAAGUCUGUGACUUCCUGCCAGGAAAGUGAAACAAAACAGAAACAGGAGCUCUGUGUUCGCUCCUCCCCCCAGUGCUUAUCUGCUGGGCGCCUGAAGUGCGGCCCUGCUCCUGCAGCCCUGGUGCAGUUGUGGGGCACUGUGUGCGAGCAGGGAAGAUGUCCCCAGUGCUGGGGAGGACAGACACUGCCCAGGACAAGUGUCAGAGGACAGGGUGGCGAGCCCAGGCUGCAGGGGCUGGGCUUCUUGGAGAACAGAGGUGAAGUUCAGACCCAGAGGCCCUGGCCCUGCUCACUGCCCUGCUUGCUUUUGCUGUGGGGUUUGGUGUUCCCUAAUGGGAGAAGGGAUUUGGUGGCGGAGCAGCAGUUUCCACAUGGUACCAUGUCAUGUCAUGUACCGAGACACAUCUGCUAGCAUGUUCCUGGAGGAGUACCCAUGCAUAGGCUGCCUCUGCUGUAAAUGUAGUGCCUGGCGACCCCCCAAUGUAUUCUUGCAUGUGUCCCCUCCCAUGUUGCAGUGACUAUCCUGUGCUCUG
Manis pentadactyla (Chinese pangolin) is the source of this 1349-nucleotide long non-coding RNA. RefSeq lists it as uncharacterized. Lineage: Eukaryota; Metazoa; Chordata; Mammalia; Pholidota; Manidae. The transcript is spliced from 3 exons. The record is from RefSeq and is a predicted model, not a curated record.